This 447-nucleotide ribosomal RNA is filed under the name uncultured bacterium. Its description in RNAcentral is "partial 16S ribosomal RNA". It matches the Rfam family "Bacterial small subunit ribosomal RNA", at positions 29 to 523 of the family's 1533-position model. The record is from RNAcentral.
AGCGAACGCUGGCGGCAGGCUUAACACAUGCAAGUCGAACGCCCCGCAAGGGGAGUGGCAGACGGGUGAGUAACACGUGGGAACGUACCCUUUGGUUCGGAAUAACUUUGGGAAACUCAAGCUAAUACCGGAUAAGCCAUUAUGGGGAAAGGUUUACUGCCGAAGGAUCGGCCCGCGUCUGAUUAGCUAGUUGGUGAUGUAAUGGCUCACCAAGGCGACGAUCAGUAGCUGGUCUGAGAGGAUGAUCAGCCACACUGGGACUGAGACACGGCCCAGACUCCUACGGGAGGCAGCAGUGGGGAAUGUUGGACAAUGGGGGCAACCCUGAUCCAGCCAUGCCGCGUGAGUGAUGAAGGCCUUAGGGUUGUAAAGCUCUUUUACCCGGGACGAUAAUGACUGUACCGGGAGAAUAAGCCCCGGCUAACUUCGUUCCAGCAGCCGCGGUAA